CCUUGCCUACGGGGCGCAGCAGUGAGGAAUAUUGGUCAAUGGGCGGGAGCCUGAACCAGCCACGCCGCGUGAAGGAAGAAGGCGCCAAGCGUCGUAAACUUCUUUUGUCGGGGAACAAAGGGCGCCACGUGUGGCGUUGUGAGUGUACCCGAAGAAAAAGCAUCGGCUAACUCCGUGCCAGCAGCCGCGGUAAUACGGAGGAUCCGAGCGUUAUCCGGAUUUAUUGGGUUUAAAGGGAGCGUAGGUGGAUUGUUAAGUCAGUUGUGAAAGUUUGCGGCUCAACCGUAAAAUUGCAGUUGAAACUG
RNAcentral lists this ribosomal RNA (305 nucleotides) under uncultured bacterium. RNAcentral describes it as "bacterial SSU rRNA". It matches the Rfam family "Bacterial small subunit ribosomal RNA", at positions 332 to 635 of the family's 1533-position model. The record is from RNAcentral.